This 500-nucleotide ribosomal RNA is filed under the name uncultured bacterium. RNAcentral's name for it is "partial 16S ribosomal RNA". It matches the Rfam family "Bacterial small subunit ribosomal RNA", at positions 28 to 523 of the family's 1533-position model. The record is from RNAcentral.
GUUGAACGCUGGCGGCAUGCCUUACACAUGCAAGUCGAACGGCAGCGGGGACUUCGGUCCGCCGGCGAGUGGCGAACGGGUGAGUAAUGUAUCGGAACGUACCUUUCAGUGGGGGAUAACGUAGCGAAAGUUACGCUAAUACCGCAUAUUCUCUGAGGAGGAAAGCAGGGGACCUUCGGGCCUUGCGCUGAUGGAGCGGCCGAUAUCAGAUUAGCUAGUUGGUGGGGUAAAGGCUCACCAAGGCUACGAUCUGUAGCGGGUCGGAGAGGAAGAACCGCCACACUGGGACUGAGACACGGCCCAAACUCCUACUGGAGGCAGCAGUGGGGAAUGUUGGACAAUGGGCGAACGCCUGAUCCAGCCAUGCCGGGUGAGUGAAGAAGGCCUUCGGGUUGUAAAGCUCUUUCGGACGAGAAGAAAUCAUGAGGGCUAAUAUCCCUUGUGGAUGACGGUACCGUAAUAAGAAGCACCGGCUAACUACGUGCCAGCCGCCGCGGUAA